AGCGAACGCUGGCGGCAGGCCUAACACAUGCAAGUCGAACGAACCUUUCGGGGUUAGUGGCGGACGGGUGAGUAACACGUGGGAACGUGCCUUUAGGUUCGGAAUAACUCAGGGAAACUUGUGCUAAUACCGAAUGUGCCCUUCGGGGGAAAGAUUUAUCGCCUUUAGAGCGGCCCGCGUCUGAUUAGCUAGUUGGUUGAGGUAAUGGCUCACCAAGGCGACGAUCAGUAGCUGGUCUGAGAGGAUGAUCAGCCACAUUGGGACUGAGACACGGCCCAAACUCCUACGGGAGGCAGCAGUGGGGAAUCUUGCGCAAUGGGCGAAAGCCUGACGCAGCCAUGCCGCGUGAAUGAUGAAGGUCUUAGGAUUGUAAAAUUCUAUCACCGGGGACGAUAAUGACGGUACCCGGAGAAGAAGCCCCGGCUAACUUCGUG
Molecule: ribosomal RNA, 434 nt
Filed under: uncultured bacterium
Lineage: Bacteria
Description: partial 16S ribosomal RNA
Rfam family: Bacterial small subunit ribosomal RNA
Source: RNAcentral